UUUCCAGAGAUGGAUUGGUGCCUUCGGGAACUGUGAGACAGGUGCUGCAUGGCUGUCGUCAGCUCGUGUUGUGAAAUGUUGGGUUAAGUCCCGCAACGAGCGCAACCCUUAUCCUUUGUUGCCAGCGAUUAGGUCGGGAACUCAAAGGAGACUGCCAGUGAUAAACUGGAGGAAGGUGGGGAUGACGUCAAGUCAUCAUGGCCCUUACGACCAGGGCUACACACGUGCUACAAUGGCGCAUACAAAGAGAAGCGACCUCGCGAGAGCAAGCGGACCUCAUAAAGUGCGUCGUAGUCCGGAUUGGAGUCUGCAACUCGACUCCAUGAAGUCGGAAUCGCUAGUAAUCGUGGAUCAGAAUGCCACGGUGAAUACGUUCCCGGGCCUUGUACACACCGCCCGUCACACCAUGGGAGUGGGUUGCAAAAGAAGUAGGUAGCUUAACCUUCGGGAGGGCGCUUACCACUUUGUGAUUCAUGACUGGGGUGAAGUCGUAACAAGGUAACCGUAGGGGAACCUGCGGUUGGAUCACCUCCUUA
RNAcentral lists this ribosomal RNA (536 nucleotides) under Salmonella enterica. RNAcentral describes it as "bacterial SSU rRNA". It matches the Rfam family "Bacterial small subunit ribosomal RNA", at positions 997 to 1533 of the family's 1533-position model. Lineage: Bacteria; Pseudomonadati; Pseudomonadota; Gammaproteobacteria; Enterobacterales; Enterobacteriaceae. RNAcentral also lists the same sequence under 8 other names. The record is from RNAcentral.